RNAcentral lists this unclassified non-coding RNA (251 nucleotides) under Hevea brasiliensis (rubber tree). Lineage: Eukaryota; Viridiplantae; Streptophyta; Magnoliopsida; Malpighiales; Euphorbiaceae. The record is from RNAcentral.
CCCUGGCCUCCCGAAGUAUUCAAGAUAUGAUACCAACCAUAAAAAAUGCCACCAUACUACUUCCAACUCAUUCAGCAACUACAAUAUAGCAAGUUAUGUAAACUUGGAAGAGGACCCAAGAAUAAAAACAAAACUUCUAAAAAGGCAAAAGACGAGACUGAAGCAACUGAAGCAACCAAACUAUAACACGCCAUCAUUUCACACAUGCAGGAUUCUCAUUGAAGCUGCAGGUUCCUCACAAGUAAAUAAAU